AAACUUUCAACAACGGAUCUCUUGGUUCUGGCAUCGAUGAAGAACGCAGCGAAAUGCGAUAAGUAAUGUGAAUUGCAGAAUUCAGUGAAUCAUCGAAUCUUUGAACGCACAUUGCGCCCAUCAGUAUU
This 128-nucleotide ribosomal RNA is filed under the name Apiospora arundinis. Its description in RNAcentral is "Arthrinium arundinis partial 5.8S ribosomal RNA". It matches the Rfam family "5.8S ribosomal RNA", at positions 1 to 127 of the family's 154-position model. From Rfam's summary of the family: 5.8S ribosomal RNA (5.8S rRNA) is a component of the large subunit of the eukaryotic ribosome. It is transcribed by RNA polymerase I as part of the 45S precursor that also contains 18S and 28S rRNA. The record is from RNAcentral. Lineage: Eukaryota; Fungi; Ascomycota; Sordariomycetes; Amphisphaeriales; Apiosporaceae.